RNAcentral lists this ribosomal RNA (253 nucleotides) under uncultured bacterium. RNAcentral's name for it is "partial 16S ribosomal RNA". It matches the Rfam family "Bacterial small subunit ribosomal RNA", at positions 524 to 776 of the family's 1533-position model. The record is from RNAcentral.
UCCGUAGGGUGCAGGCGUUAAUCGGAAUUACUGGGCGUAAAGCGUGCGCAGGCGGUUUGCUAAGACAGGUGUGAAAUCCCCGGGCUUAACCUGGGAACUGCGCUUGUAACUGGCAAGCUAGAGUGUGGCAGAGGGGGGUGGAAUUCCAGGUGUAGCAGUGAAAUACGUAGAGAUCUGGAGGAACACCGAUGGCGAAGGCAGCCCCCUGGGCUAACACUGACGCUCAUGCACGAAAGCGUGGGGAGCAAACAGG